GCGGUCGUGGCGGAAUUGGCAGACGCACUGGAUUUAGGUUCCAGCGGGCAACCGUGGAGGUUCAAGUCCUCUCGACCGCACCA
This 83-nucleotide transfer RNA is filed under the name Heliobacterium chlorum. RNAcentral describes it as "tRNA-Leu". It matches the Rfam family "tRNA". From Rfam's summary of the family: Transfer RNA (tRNA) molecules are approximately 80 nucleotides in length. Their secondary structure includes four short double-helical elements and three loops (D, anti-codon, and T loops). The record is from RNAcentral. Lineage: Bacteria; Bacillati; Bacillota; Clostridia; Eubacteriales; Heliobacteriaceae. RNAcentral also lists the same sequence under 3 other names.